This is a long non-coding RNA of Bolinopsis microptera, 1244 nucleotides long. RefSeq lists it as uncharacterized. The transcript is spliced from 2 exons. Lineage: Eukaryota; Metazoa; Ctenophora; Tentaculata; Lobata; Bolinopsidae. The record is from RefSeq and is a predicted model, not a curated record.
UGUACGAAGUGUAAGGUACGCCACAGACGAGUCAGGACAACCUGCUUACGUGAGAUUUGAAGACAGUAUUAUAGCUCCUAAGCUCGUUAUAAAGAGUCGAUCUGGGAGUAUAGAGCCAGGACACUAUAGGCAACUAAGCGACGGGUCAGCUCCUGACGAUUCAGUCGGCGAGUGAGUCACCUUAUCUGACGUCAUGACACGUGGUUUCAUAUCAUGACGUCACGUACUCACGUGGUUUCAUAUCAUGACGUCACGUGGUUUCAUAUCAUGACGUCACGUGGUUUCAUAUCAUGACGUCAUAUGAUUUGGAUAUAGUAUUUACGCGUGCCCUACGCAGUCGCGUGGCUUUUCAAAUGACUUAAAGUGCUACUUAAUAAAUCGUUAGUUCUCAGUAACCUAAUACUCCAGCUUCAACCACGAGACAUUUUAUUUCAACUUUAUUUCAUGACAGCUCGUGGAUUUUCUUGUUUUAACGAUUUUUUCGGAACUGGUUCAAGGAACAGCUACAGAAACGAUCCUUUUUAAAGUUCCGACAGUUUAACUUUAAUACUUAUAUUUGAGUUUCCUCAAGCAGCUAAAGAUCAUGUUAAAGUUAUCUAAACUGUAUAAUUUUACUCGUAAACAAAUUAUCGAUCGCAUUUUCAUUCCCUCAGUGCAAGUGGUUUCAGAUCCUAUCAUAUAUUUUUGCGGCAAAUUGUUUAUGGUUAGAUUUUUAAUUUUUGGUAUGUUAAAGUAAUUUUAUCUGAGACUCGCAAGAUUUUUAAUGUGUUAUUUGUCCGCAUAAUUAAAGCGACGUCUAUCUUAAUUCUUUGCAUAUUAUGGUUUUCAGAAUUGAAUCAAUACCAUGAACUGAGAUAGUUAUUCAGUGCAAGUGGGUAUUUUCUCAUUUCUGACAGGAUAUAUUUUUCGUAAGUUCGAAAUAUUUCCAAGUCUUCAACAACAAUUAAUAAAAUUUCGUCUUAACUAAUUAAGGAGCUCGAGCCCUUUCCUUUAGUGGAACUUUUUAUAGAUGUAACAGAAAUAUACUAGCAUGUAACAUUUGUAUGGAAUAAUAUUUUUGGAAGGGCGUAGUUUACAGAUGAACUCAGUGUGUAUAUUUUGUUACCGAAAUUUGUUGUUACCGAAAUUUUUUGUGAUGCAAGAAUGUGUUUUGAUAUUUUGUAGUUAAUGAUUUGUUGUUGUUAAAUCCUGUUAUGAUGUUUAAUACCUUCUUUUUAUUAUUCAGAUCGCUUGUACAUCCUUAA